GACGGUAAGGUAUUGGCUUACCGUGGCAGUGACGGUUAACGGGGAAUUAGGGUUCAAUUCCGGAGAGGGAGCCUGAGAAACGGCUACCACAUCUAAGGAAGGCAGCAGGCGCGCAAAUUACCCAAUUCUAACAGCAUAAGAGAGGUAGUGACAAGAAAUAACAGUACAAGGCAGUUAAAAUGCUUUGUAAUUGGAAUGAUAGAAAUUUAAAUACUUUUUAAAGUAUCAAUUGGAGGGCAAGUCUGGUGCCAGCAGCCGCGGUAAUUCCAGCUCCAAUAGCGUAUAUUAAAAUUGUUGCAGUUAAAAAGCUCGUAGUUGAAUUUUUGCUAAAAAUAACCGGUCUGCUUUUAUUAAUAAAAGUGGUAUCUUGGUGUGUUUUUAGCAAUAAUGUCCUUUGAAAUGUUUUUUACUUUAUUGUAAAAAGCAAUUUUCAGGAUUUUUACUUUGAGAAAAUUAGAGUGUUUCAAGCAGGCUAACGUUUUGAAUACUGCAGCAUGGAAUAAUAAAAUAGGAUUUUAGUUCUACGUUAUUGGUUUUAAGAACUAAAUUAAUGAUUGAUAGGAGCAGUUGGGGGCAUUUGUAUUUAACUGUCAGAGGU
Molecule: ribosomal RNA, 598 nt
Filed under: Hepatozoon sp.
Lineage: Eukaryota; Apicomplexa; Hepatozoidae
Description: bacterial SSU rRNA
Rfam family: Eukaryotic small subunit ribosomal RNA
Source: RNAcentral